GCAGUCGAACAUGUAGCUGACUCAGGUCACAGGGUGUGAUGCUUGCACAAGUGAUCCAAUAGCGACAUCUCUCUGCAGUCGAACAUGUAGCUGACUCAGGUCACAGGGUUCGAUCAUGGCUCAGGAUGAACGCUGGCGGCGUGCCUAACACAUGCAAGUCGAACGGUCACAAGCAAUGGUGAUAGUGGCGGACGGGUGAGUAACGCGUAAGAAUCUAGCUUCAGGACGGGGACAACAGUUGGAAACGACUGCUAAGACCCGAUGUGCCGAAAGGUGAAAUAAUUAUAGCCUGAAGAGGAGCUUGCGUCUGAUUAGCUAGUUGGUGGGGUAAGAGCCUACCAAGGCGACGAUCAGUAGCUGGUCUGAGAGGAUGAGCAGCCACACUGGGACUGAGACACGGCCCAGACUCCUACGGGAGGCAGCAGUGGGGAAUUUUCCGCAAUGGGCGAAAGCCUGACGGAGCAACGCCGCGUGAGGGAGGAAGGCUCUUGGGUUGUAAACCUCUUUUGUUAGGGAAGAAAAAAAUGACGGUACCUAACGAAUCAGCAUCGGCUAACUCCGUGCCAGCAGCCGCGGUAAUACGGAGGAUGCAAGCGUUAUCCGGAAUUAUUGGGCGUAAAGCGUCCGCAGGUGGUGGCUUCAAGUCGGCUGUUAAAGCAUGAGCUUAACUUCUAAAGGCAGUGGAAACUGAAAACUAGAGGUCAGUAGGGGUAGCAGGAAUUCCCAGUGUAGCGGUGAAAUGCGUAGAGAUUGGGAAGAACAUCGGUGGCGAAAGCGUGCUACUGGGCUGAAUCUGACACUGAGGGACGAAAGCUAGGGGAGCAAAAGGGAUUAGAUACCCCUGUAGUCCUAGCCGUAAACGAUGGAAACUAGGCGUGGCUUGUAUCGACCCGAGCCGUGCCGAAGCUAACGCGUUAAGUUUCCCGCCUGGGGAGUACGCACGCAAGUGUGAAACUCAAAGGAAUUGACGGGGGCCCGCACAAGCGGUGGAGUAUGUGGUUUAAUUCGAUGCAACGCGAAGAACCUUACCAGGGCUUGACAUGUCGCGAACCCAAGUGAAAGCUGGGGGUGCCGUCGGAGCGCGAACACAGGUGGUGCAUGGCUGUCGUCAGCUCGUGUCGUGAGAUGUUGGGUUAAGUCCCGCAACGAGCGCAACCCUCGUCCUUAGUUGCCAGCAUUUAGGCUGGGCACUCUGAGGAGACUGCCGGUGACAAACCGGAGGAAGGUGGGGAUGACGUCAAGUCAGCAUGCCCCUUACGCCCUGGGCGACACACGUACUACAAUGGUUGAGACAAAGGGCAGCAAGCAUGCGAUAGUCAGCGAAUCCCAGCAAACUCAGCCUCAGUUCAGAUUGCAGGCUGCAACUCGCCUGCAUGAAGGAGGAAUCGCUAGUAAUCGCCGGUCAGCAUACGGCGGUGAAUCCGUUCCCGGGCCUUGUACACACCGCCCGUCACACCAUGGAAGCUGGCCACGCCCGAAGUCGUUACCCUAACCCAUUAGUGGGAGGGGGAUGCCGAAGGCAGGGCUAGUGACUGGGGUGAAGUCGUAACAAGGUAACCCUACGAUGUGAUGCUUGCACAAGUGAUCCA
Molecule: ribosomal RNA, 1589 nt
Filed under: Microcystis aeruginosa M64187e-1069
Lineage: Bacteria; Bacillati; Cyanobacteriota; Cyanophyceae; Chroococcales; Microcystaceae
Description: bacterial SSU rRNA
Rfam family: Bacterial small subunit ribosomal RNA
Source: RNAcentral